GACGAACGCUGGCGGCGUGCCUAACACAUGCAAGUCAACUUGACUGAAGGAGCAAUCUGACAGUAGAGUGGCGCAAGGGUGCGUAACGCGUAAGUAACUUGCCCAAGGUAAGGAAUGACGUCGAGAAAUCGGCGCUAAUACCUCAUAAUGCAGCGGAUCCGCAUUGGAUAAUGUUGUUAAAGGUUUACCGCCUUGGGAUAGGCUUGCGUCUGAUUAGUUAGUUGGUGUGGUAACGGGCACACCAAGGCUACGAUCAGUAACUGGUCUGAGAGGAUGAUCAGUCACACUGGAACUGAGACACGGUCCAGACUCCUACGGGAGGCAGCAGUGAGGAAUAUUGGGCAAUGCUCGAAAGAGUGACCCAGCAACGCCGCGUGGAGGAUGAAGGUAUUC
RNAcentral lists this ribosomal RNA (393 nucleotides) under uncultured bacterium. Its description in RNAcentral is "bacterial SSU rRNA". It matches the Rfam family "Bacterial small subunit ribosomal RNA", at positions 28 to 419 of the family's 1533-position model. The record is from RNAcentral.